This 382-nucleotide ribosomal RNA is filed under the name Tontoniidae sp. RNAcentral describes it as "partial small subunit ribosomal RNA". It matches the Rfam family "Eukaryotic small subunit ribosomal RNA", at positions 582 to 975 of the family's 1831-position model. Lineage: Eukaryota; Ciliophora; Spirotrichea; Tontoniidae. The record is from RNAcentral.
AUUCCAGCUCCAAUAGCGUAUAUUAAAGUUGUUGCAGUUAAAAAGCUCGUAGUUGGAUUUCUGCCAGGGUGCCAAUGUCCGCCGAAGUGCGUGCGCAGCGGCGCCCUCGCAUCCUUCUGUUAACGCCUCUCGGCAUUUACUUGCCGGUGGUGGGCUCAGAUAAUUUACCUUGAGAAAAUUAGAGUGUUUCAGGCAGGCUAGGCCGGAAUACAUUAGCAUGGAAUAAUGGAAUAGGACUACGGUCUCGUUGUUGGUUUGAGGGACUGGAGUAAUGAUUAAUAGGGAUAGUUGGGGGCAUUAGUAUUUAAUUGUCAGAGGUGAAAUUCUCAGAUUUGUUAAAGACUAACUUAUGCGAAAGCAUUUGCCAAGGAUGUUUUCAUUG